CAUUGGUAUGUUUUUUCAUAUUGAGGGGUUUUAUUCCCAAAGCAACUUUUGAUUGUUGAAAAGAGUUUGGUAGAUCAUAUGUGCCUCCUCCUAUAGCCUUGGCAUAUCAGGUAUUGGUGGGAAAAGUGUCAGAACCACCCAGAAGGCAGUCUGAAAGGCUUAAACUCACUCUGAAGAUAUGGUUGUAUUAUUGGAUAGGAUCUCACAGUCAUCACUGAAAUGAGCUCUUCCUACACAAUGCCUACCUUUAUGCUGUAAAUCAUUCUUCUUGUCUUUUUGUUUCCCUAGAUUACUCCCUGCCAAAUCUUCAGGAGUAUUGUUCCUGUUCUUGUAUUUUAAGGAAAAGAGCACCUCUGGGAUGUUCUCUUGAGUCAACACUGGAAAACUCCUCCUAGGAGAUAAGAUGUGUACACUAAGACACUGAGAAGAAAGCAGGCAGAACACUGAAGAGUUGAAAUUACAGGAAACUAGUGGCUGCUAGAAUGCAUACAUAGAAGAAGAAAGAACCUGUCAUCCUCUGGCCAAAUGAUGAGCCUAUUUUAGUGACAUGUUGGUUACAUUUCUAAUGAUGUGUUAAAUUGGCCUUGGGCAACCAGGUCAUAAGAUCUGGAGGCUGGAAUGUCCAAGAUGAAGGUGCUGGGAGCUCUGAUUUCUGAAAAGUAUCCACAGAUCUUGGGGUGACUUUCUUGAGAGUUCCAUUCUCCUCCCACCUUCUAACCUAAAGAGAAGAAAAUCAUUAUUAAAUACUGAGUUUAAAGAGGACUCAGGUCUUACAAAGGAGAUGACCAAGUAUCUCUCAGAAAAGAUAGAAAAAACAACUCUUUCAUGAGGGCUACCAGAAGGAA
This 845-nucleotide long non-coding RNA is filed under the name Callithrix jacchus (white-tufted-ear marmoset). RNAcentral's name for it is "lncRNA (ENSCJAG00000081209.1)". The record is from RNAcentral. Lineage: Eukaryota; Metazoa; Chordata; Mammalia; Primates; Cebidae.